Molecule: ribosomal RNA, 1289 nt
Filed under: Salmonella enterica subsp. enterica serovar Enteritidis
Lineage: Bacteria; Pseudomonadati; Pseudomonadota; Gammaproteobacteria; Enterobacterales; Enterobacteriaceae
Description: partial 23S ribosomal RNA
Rfam family: Bacterial large subunit ribosomal RNA
Source: RNAcentral
AAUCCAUAGGUUAAUGAGGCGAACCGGGGGAACUGAAACAUCUAAGUACCCCGAGGAAAAGAAAUCAACCGAGAUUCCCCCAGUAGCGGCGAGCGAACGGGGAGGAGCCCAGAGCCUGAAUCAGCAUGUGUGUUAGUGGAAGCGUCUGGAAAGGCGCGCGAUACAGGGUGACAGCCCCGUACACAAAAGCGCAUGUGCUGUGAGCUCGAUGAGUAGGGCGGGACACGUGGUAUCCUGUCUGAAUAUGGGGGGACCAUCCUCCAAGGCUAAAUACUCCUGACUGACCGAUAGUGAACCAGUACCGUGAGGGAAAGGCGAAAAGAACCCCGGCGAGGGGAGUGAAAAAGAACCUGAAACCGUGUACGUACAAGCAGUGGGAGCACCCUUUGGGUGUGACUGCGUACCUUUUGUAUAAUGGGUCAGCGACUUAUAUUCUGUAGCAAGGUUAACCGAAUAGGGGAGCCGGAGGGAAACCGAGUCUUAACCGGGCGUUAAGUUGCAGGGUAUAGACCCGAAACCCGGUGAUCUAGCCAUGGGCAGGUUGAAGGUUGGGUAACACUAACUGGAGGACCGAACCGACUAAUGUUGAAAAAUUAGCGGAUGACCUGUGGCUGGGGGUGAAAGGCCAAUCAAACCGGGAGAUAGCUGGUUCUCCCCGAAAGCUAUUUAGGUAGCGCCUCGUGAAUUCAUCUCCGGGGGUAGAGCAAUGUUUCGGCUAGGGGGCCAUCCCGGCUUACCAACCCGAUGCAAACUGCGAAUACCGGAGAAUGUUAUCACGGGAGACACACGGCGGGUGCUAACGUCCGUCGUGAAGAGGGAAACAACCCAGACCGCCAGCUAAGGUCCCAAAGUCAUGGUUAAGUGGGAAACGAUGUGGGAAGGCCCAGACAGCCAGGAUGUUGGCUUAGAAGCAGCCAUCAUUUAAAGAAAGCGUAAUAGCUCACUGGUCGAGUCGGCCUGCGCGGAAGAUGUAACGGGGCUAAACCAUGCACCGAAGCUGCGGCAGCGACACUGUGUGUUGUUGGGUAGGGGAGCGUUCUGUAAGCCUGUGAAGGUGUGUCGUGAGGCAUGCUGGAGGUAUCAGAAGUGCGAAUGCUGACAUAAGUAACGAUAAAGCGGGUGAAAAGCCCGCUCGCCGGAAGACCAAGGGUUCCUGUCCAACGUUAAUCGGGGCAGGGUGAGUCGACCCCUAAGGCGAGGCCGAAAGGCGUAGUCGAUGGGAAACGGGUUAAUAUUCCCGUACUUGGUGUUACUGCGAAGGGGGGACGGAGAAGGCUAUGUUGGCCGGG